UACGAAGGGGGCGAGCGUUGUUCGGAAUUACUGGGCGUAAAGGGCGCGUAGGCGGCCGAUCAAGUUAGAUGUGAAAGUCCUGGGCUUAACCUGGGGACUGCAUUUGAUACUGAUUGGCUUGAAUUCGGGAGAGGAUAGCGGAAUUCCCAGUGUAGAGGUGAAAUUCGUAGAUAUUGGGAAGAGCACCGGUGGCGAAGGCGGCUAUCUGGACCGACAUUGACGCUGAGGCGCGAAAGCGUGGGGAGCAAACAGG
RNAcentral lists this ribosomal RNA (253 nucleotides) under uncultured bacterium. RNAcentral describes it as "partial 16S ribosomal RNA". It matches the Rfam family "Bacterial small subunit ribosomal RNA", at positions 524 to 776 of the family's 1533-position model. The record is from RNAcentral.